Molecule: ribosomal RNA, 253 nt
Filed under: uncultured bacterium
Lineage: Bacteria
Description: partial 16S ribosomal RNA
Rfam family: Bacterial small subunit ribosomal RNA
Source: RNAcentral
UACGUAGGAUGCAAGCGUUGUCCGGAUUUAUUGGGUUUAAAGGGUGCGUAGGUGGUUUAUUAAGUCGUGGGUGAAAGUCAGCAGCUUAACUGUUGGAUUGCCUGCGAUACUGAUAGACUUGAAUGCGGUUGAGGUAGCUGGAAUGGGUGGUGUAGCGGUGAAAUGCAUAGAUACCAUCCGGAACACCAAUUGCGUAGGCAAGCUACUAAGCCGUGAUUGACACUGAGGCACGAAAGCAUGGGGAGCAAACAGG